This 173-nucleotide non-coding RNA is filed under the name Schizosaccharomyces pombe (fission yeast). The record is from RNAcentral. Lineage: Eukaryota; Fungi; Ascomycota; Schizosaccharomycetes; Schizosaccharomycetales; Schizosaccharomycetaceae.
GUACGGCAAGCUUUUACUUUAUGAUCAAUGUUACCUUAAAUUUCUAUUGAGUAACAAAUGUUACAAGAUAUGUAUGCGAACAAUAAUACCAGAAGCUGAUCGCUCAUCAUCGAAUGGAGUUAAUUACUUCGCUUAUACAAAAUAGUUUGUUAGUAUUACGAUGCAUAAUCUGA